UUGUAUAUUUGUAUAAUGAAAUCUGGAAUGAAAGGAUUAAUGAAAUAUGUACUGUCUCAUUUAUAUAAUAUGAAUUUAAAAUUUUAAUAAAAAUGUUAAAAUUUUUUUAUGGGACGAUAAGACCCUAUAGAAUUUUAUAUUAACUUUACCUAGCGGUUAAUGCUGGUUUUUUGUUAAUAUUUGGUUGGGAGGAUUAUUAAAUUUAACAAACUUUAUAUCAUUAUAAACUUUGAUUUAAGAAAAUAUAAUGAUCUUCAAUUUGAAAUAGUUAGAGUAAAUUACCUUAGGGAUAACAGCGUAAUAUUUUUUUAUAGACCUUAUAGAAAAAAAUGAUUGCGAC
This 340-nucleotide ribosomal RNA is filed under the name Lepidotrigona ventralis. RNAcentral's name for it is "partial 16S large subunit ribosomal RNA". Lineage: Eukaryota; Metazoa; Arthropoda; Insecta; Hymenoptera; Apidae. The record is from RNAcentral.